GGGUUGGUAACUCAGUGGUAGAGUGACUGUCUGAAGAACAGUAGGUCGUAAGUUCGAUUCUUACCCUUCCCA
This 72-nucleotide transfer RNA is filed under the name Acinetobacter phage vB_AbaM_Acibel004. It matches the Rfam family "tRNA". Rfam says of the family: Transfer RNA (tRNA) molecules are approximately 80 nucleotides in length. Lineage: Duplodnaviria; Heunggongvirae; Uroviricota; Caudoviricetes; Luriaviridae. The record is from Rfam by way of RNAcentral.